RNAcentral lists this ribosomal RNA (253 nucleotides) under uncultured bacterium. Its description in RNAcentral is "partial 16S ribosomal RNA". It matches the Rfam family "Bacterial small subunit ribosomal RNA", at positions 524 to 776 of the family's 1533-position model. The record is from RNAcentral.
UACGUAGGGUGCAAGCGUUAAUCGGAAUUACUGGGCGUAAAUCGUGCGCAGGCGGUUGUGCAAGACCGAUGUGAAAUCCCCGGGCUUAACCUGGGAAUGGCAUUGGUGACUGCACGGCUAGAGUGUGUCAGAGGGGGGUAGAAUUCCACGUGUAGCAGUGAAAUGCGUAGAGAUGUGGAGGAAUACCGAUGGCGAAGGCAGCCCCCUGGGAUAACACUGACGCUCAUGCACGAAAGCGUGGGGAGCAAACAGG